UGCAGGAGUUUGACACUAAUGAUAAAAGUAUCAUUGCAUUAGUGUGGAGAGAGCAUCUGAGCGGAUGCAGAUGUAUCAUACCAAAAUGAUUAAAUGGUACCACUUAGAGCAGAAGUAGUUUAUAUUGGGGGUGAUACCCAAGUAGAACCAAUAUACUACACUUUCCAUUUGAUACCUUUUCUACAGGCAGGCAGCUUCUGCUCUAAUUGUUAAUGCUUUACCCGUAGCUGAAGCCUGCAGUACUCAGCUGUGAAAGCACCUGGGAUACUGACAGCCAGAGCACAGGGCUAAGCCCACUUGACUAGUCUUGAUGUGGUGCAUUUCUGUUUCUGAAAGGUUGCCUUGAUAUUUUCGUGGCUCUGGUGUUUUCAUGUUUUUUUUUUUUUUUUGUGAUGCUUUCCUUUAAAUCAUGGAGGUAAAUUAACUGUUGUUCCAGUUAAACAUGCAUUUUUGCUUGGGGCCAGACAGCUUGUGCUUGCACAAAGGAGACAUGCUAGGUGGGUGAGAAUUUCUUGGAAUAAGUAGUCAGUCUGGAUUUUUGUUGCAAAAGCUUAAGUUUCUGUUAAUUGAGUGUUCAUUUCAGAAUGAAUUAUGUAGAACUCUAAGCUUCCUGACUUACUUGAUUUCCAUCCCUUAUUACUGCCAUACCCUGUUUUCUCUGUCAUUUACUAAUUCAAAGCAAGACCCCCUUAAUAGUUGGAAAGCCUCCUGCAACAUCAGAAAAAAAAAAAAAAAAAGGCGUGGAACAAGAUUUAGGUGAGUUAAUUUUGAAGUAUUUGUUGUAUAGAGAAUACAGAAGAACAUGUUCAGGCUUGAAUUAGGUAUGUGCUUUAUCUCCCAGAGAACAGUUCAGAAUAUUUUAUGGAGUUUUCCAGAAGUUCUUUCAAAUUAGGUGUCUCUACAGUACUUUACUGAAUUUUGAAAAUUGCUCUGCAGAUCAGUGAAUUUUCCUUUUUUCCUUUUGUACUUAAUCCCUCCAGUCUUUUGUGAUAGCCCAGCCCUGCUUGCUGUGUUGGGAGAGACGCUAUCAAAAUCCCCUUAAAUGCCAGAGCCGUUGGAUAAAGGCAUAAAGAGACAGCAACUUGCAGAGAUGCCCUAUUGCUGCUGUUUAACAGCAAGAAGUACUGAAUGGUAACCAGAUGACUGUGGUCAGAUACACCGAGUUAAUUCUAUAGAGUAGGACUUUCAAAAGUACCAGACUGUACAUCAUACUUCGGUAAGUAGCACCCUUAAAUAAGAAUUCACCUGUGUUUGCCAUUGGCAGUAGUUCUUCUUUUUGAAAUCAUACAAGUCCACCUGCUUUCUUCUAUUAAUUGCCAGUCUCCUAGGUAGCGCUCUGUGAAGAGAAACCUCAAAAUGUUCAUGCUAUGUUGAAGAAGCAGGUAGAGAAACUUUAAUGACCCCUUGCUUGUCUGUUUUAGAUGCCUCCACAAGCAUCUAGGGAGGGCUUGUCUCUUUCCUCUGCUGCUAGAGGGAACUUGGUAAGAGUGGCCAAGAAUGUCAGCCAACUCUGUAUUUUCUGUUGCCAGAUUUGCUUUGCUAAAUUAGUAUCCCAUGUAUUGCAUUGGAACAGGUAACGUAGAAUAUGUUGACUUAGAACUAGGGGACUUUCUGCCUGUUUGUCCUAAUGGAUGGAUCUGACUUUUACACUAAUGACCUUCUGGUCUGUUUAUUAAAUAUGGCCCAUGACUUUUUACUAAAUUAAUUCAAUCACAUUGUUCUUUUACAGUUCUAUUAAAGCAAGAAAUUCGGUGCACCCUCAGUAGAGAGGUUAUUUCUGGUGUCAGGGAAAUCAAUGCAAGGUGCCUGUUAGCAGAUUAAUUUUUGUUUAUACUUGAGGUUUUCUUUGUUCCUGUAUUAGUUUAAGGUUUUGGCUCUAAUGAGCAUAUAGGAAUGCGAGUAAUAGAAAAAUAAUACUGAGUCUCUUUUGGACACUUGAAGUGCUUCAUUAGGUAUAAAUUGAGUAGAAGAACGUGUGGAAAGUUUUUUCAGGUGUCAUCACCUGGGAUAUAUAAUCUUUUCAUGUUCUUGGUAUCCAGUAGUCUGGAAACUAAUGUGGUUGUCUUGGAAACAGGCUUUAUUUUCCUUUUGCAGAUAUCUAGAUGUGAAAUCAUUGUCUUCCUUGAAAAUCUGGAUUUAAUACUUCUGAAAGAAAUAACUGCAAAUUUUAGAUGCUUGUCCUCUAUUUAAAUAAUUGAUAUGGGAGCCUGUAAGUGGUGUUUGCAUUGUCUGCUUUUAUUACAGUUGUAUGAUUAUGUUGCUAAAACAAUGUUUCUUUAGUUUUUUUUAAGGUAAAAUGCCUGUACUUAUUGUUGAUACUUGUCUGGGAGUUACAUACAGUGAAGCACUUUGCCGAUUUCCUAGCUUAAUAUUUAAAUAGAAAUAUAGCAGUAUAACUGCAUUGAGGAAUUUAAGUUCCUAAAAAUGAACUGAUACUAGCACUUCCAGUCUUUGCCUUUGCCCUGCUUUAAAUAAAACAGCAUGUGAUAAAACCUUGACUAUUCUGUGGGAUUGUAGCAUAAUAUUUGCCAGCCAAAACAUCAGCAGUAGACCAAAGUGCACAGGGCAGCUUUUUGUUAGCUAAGGAGCUGCCAUGCACAGCAUAAAAAGUCAAAGCAAAAUAGAAACUGAGUCAAGAAAUAAUGAUCUUUCAAACUGCUGAGGAGUUAUUAGGAUUUGUAUGAAAAUAUGAAAUGAUGUUUUUGCAAGAAGUUUUAACUUUUCUAGUCUGUAGCUUAUUUGUCCAGUCACAGCAGUCUUAGAGUUUGGUAUUAGUGUAAUUUCAUUAUAAUUUUUACAGGUGAAGGCCCAAGCUGAAUAAUUUUCCGUAUUUUGUUUUCAAAUUGUUAACUAUGUUAAGGUCUAAUGUUUUUUUUUUAAUGUAUUUUUCUUCCAAGU
Pezoporus flaviventris is the source of this 2898-nucleotide RNA transcript. It is a transcript of the gene named succinate dehydrogenase complex assembly factor 3, with no coding region annotated. NCBI's taxonomy places the organism in Eukaryota, Metazoa, Chordata, Aves, Psittaciformes, Psittacidae. The record is from RefSeq and is a predicted model, not a curated record. The transcript is spliced from 2 exons.